GUCGAACGAAGCACUUAUGUUUGAUUCUUCGGAUGAAGAUAUAUGUGACUGAGUGGCGGACGGGUGAGUAACGCGUGGGUAACCUGCCUCAUACAGGGGGAUAACAGUUAGAAAUGGCUGCUAAUACCGCAUAAGCACACAGUGUUGCAUGACACAGUGUGAAAAACUCCGGUGGUAUGAGAUGGACCCGCGUCUGAUUAGCUAGUUGGUGGGGUAACGGCCUACCAAGGCGACGAUCAGUAGCCGACCUGAGAGGGUGACCGGCCACAUUGGGACUGAGACACGGCCCAAACUCCUACGGGAGGCAGCAGUGGGGAAUAUUGCACAAUGGGGGAAACCCUGAUGCAGCGACGCCGCGUGAGCGAAGAAGUAUUUCGGUAUGUAAAGCUCUAUCAGCAGGGAAGAAAAUGACGGUACCUGACUAAGAAGCCCCGGCUAACUACGUGCCAGCAGCCGCGGUAAUACGUAGGGGGCAAGCGUUAUCCGGAUUUACUGGGUGUAAAGGGAGCGUAGACGGAUGUGCAAGUCUGAAGUGAAAGCCCGGGGCUCAACCCCGGGACUGCUUUGGAAACUGUGUAUCUGGAGUGCCGGAGAGGUAAGCGGAAUUCCCAGUGUAGCGGUGAAAUGCGUAGAUAUUGGGAGGAACACCAGUGGCGAAGGCGGCUUACUGGACGGUAACUGACGUUGAGGCUCGAAA
Molecule: ribosomal RNA, 697 nt
Filed under: uncultured Lachnospiraceae bacterium
Lineage: Bacteria; Bacillati; Bacillota; Clostridia; Lachnospirales; Lachnospiraceae
Description: bacterial SSU rRNA
Rfam family: Bacterial small subunit ribosomal RNA
Source: RNAcentral